Molecule: ribosomal RNA, 497 nt
Filed under: uncultured bacterium
Lineage: Bacteria
Description: partial 16S ribosomal RNA
Rfam family: Bacterial small subunit ribosomal RNA
Source: RNAcentral
GAUGAACGCUGGCGGCGUGCUUAAUACAUGCAAGUCGAGCGAACAGACGAGGCGCUUGCUCCUUUGACGUUAGCGGAGCACGGGAGAGUAACACGUGGAUAACCUACCUAUAAGACUGGUAUAAUCUCGGGAAACCGGAGCUAAUACCGGAUAAUAUAUUGAACCGUAUGGUUCAAUAGUGAAAGACGGUUUUGCUGUCACUUAUAGAUGCAUCUGGGCCGCAUUAGGUAGUUGGUAAGGUAACGGCUUACCAAGGCUACGAUGCGUAGCCGACCUGAGAGAGUGAUCGCCCACAUGGGAGCUGGGACACGGUCAAGGCUCCUACGGGAGGCAGCAGUAGGGAAUGGUCCGCAAUAGGCGAAAGCCUGACGGAGCGACGCCGCGUGAGUGAUGAAGGUGUUCGGAUCGUGAAGCUCUGUUACUAGGGAAGAACAGAUGUGUAAGUAACUAUGCACGGCUUGACGGUACCGGAUCAGGAAGCAACGGCUAACUACGUG